AUGGAGCUCAGGUUUUUAGUUCUGUUCUGUACUAUUCCAUGUGUUACUUUUGGGAAUGACAUCACACCAGUCCAGACUGAGGUGUUUGGGGCAGAGAUGGAUAAUAUAACAGUGUCCUGCAAAUACUCUUCAGCAGUUAGUCUGCAGUGGUAUCGCCAGUAUCCUGGUUCAGCUCCUGAAUUUCUUUUGAUAAUACUACAUGGGACUGGAAGCGUUUCCCAAAUAUCUACAAUUGUGAAGGAAGAUCCUCGGUUCUAUGGAAAACUGAAUAAAGAGAAAACCCAUGUGUUUCUGGAGAUCUCCACUGCUAAAGUGACUGACUCUGCCGUGUAUUACUGCGCUCUGCAGCCCACAGUGACAGGAAACACACAAACACUGAACAAAAACCUCACUUAG
Molecule: non-coding RNA, 396 nt
Organism: Danio aesculapii
Lineage: Eukaryota; Metazoa; Chordata; Actinopteri; Cypriniformes; Danionidae
Source: the annotation of a RefSeq genome assembly